AUAUACUCCACUAAAAUCUGUUCUUAUCAGUUUAAUAUCUGAUACAUCAUCUAGCCAAAUAUAUAUAAAUGGAUAUUUGGAAGUAGGAGAUGGAAUAGGAGUUUGCUCCAUCUACUCCAUACAUUGAGUUGGUAUUAUAGUACUCCCAGGAACAGUGCACUUCCU
This is a non-coding RNA of Canis lupus familiaris (dog), 165 nucleotides long. The record is from Rfam. NCBI's taxonomy places the organism in Eukaryota, Metazoa, Chordata, Mammalia, Carnivora, Canidae.